CCUACGGGAGGCAGCAGUGGGGAAUAUUGCGCAAUGGGCGAAAGCCUGACGCAGCGACGCCGCGUGAGGGAUGAAGGUCUUCGGAUCGUAAACCUCUGUCAGCAGGGAAGAACGGUCACUGUGCUAAUCAGCAGUGAAUUGACGGUACCUGCAAAGGAAGCACCGGCUAACUCCGUGCCAGCAGCCGUGGUAAUACGGAGGGUGCGAGCGUUAAUCGGAAUUACUGGGCGUAAAGCGCUCGUAGGCGGUAUGUCAAGUCAAGGGUGAAAUCCCCGCGCUCAACGUGGGAACUGCCUUUGAAACUGGCAAACUGGAGUGUGUGAGAGGAUAGUGGAAUUCCAGGUGUAGGAGUGAAAGCCGUAGAUAUCUGGAGGAACAUCAGUGGCGAAGGCGACUAUCUGGCACAUAACUGACGCUGAGGAGCGAAAGCGUGGGUAGCAAACAGGAUUAGAUACCCCAGUAGUC
Molecule: ribosomal RNA, 465 nt
Filed under: uncultured bacterium
Lineage: Bacteria
Description: partial 16S ribosomal RNA
Rfam family: Bacterial small subunit ribosomal RNA
Source: RNAcentral